RNAcentral lists this ribosomal RNA (96 nucleotides) under Aegilops tauschii subsp. strangulata. Lineage: Eukaryota; Viridiplantae; Streptophyta; Magnoliopsida; Poales; Poaceae. The record is from RNAcentral.
NCAGCACUAAAGCACCGGAUCCCAUCAGAACUCCGAAGUUAAGCGUGCUUGGGUGAGAGUAGUACUAGGAUGGGUGACCUCGUGUUGCAUUCCCUU